GGCUCGGUGGCGGGUGGUCCGCAUCUGCGCUGUGUUGCCAAGGACAGAGCAAAAUGAGUUCAAGCAGAAGUCGCUCGUUCGAAUCGAGCCCGAGCCA
This is a non-coding RNA of Mycena maculata, 97 nucleotides long. The record is from the annotation of a GenBank genome assembly. Lineage: Eukaryota; Fungi; Basidiomycota; Agaricomycetes; Agaricales; Mycenaceae.